RNAcentral lists this ribosomal RNA (500 nucleotides) under uncultured bacterium. RNAcentral describes it as "partial 16S ribosomal RNA". It matches the Rfam family "Bacterial small subunit ribosomal RNA", at positions 30 to 523 of the family's 1533-position model. The record is from RNAcentral.
AUUGAACGCUGGCGGAAUGCUUUACACAUGCAAGUCGAACGGCAGCACGGACUUCGGUCUGGUGGCGAGUGGCGAACGGGUGAGUAAUGUAUCGGAACGUGCCCAGUCGUGGGGGAUAACGUAGUGAAAAUUACGCUAAUACCGCAUACGAUCUAUGGAUGAAAGCGGGGGAUCGCAAGACCUCGAGCGAUUGGAGCGGCCGAUAUCAGAUUAGGUAGUUGGUGGGGUAAAGGCCGACCAAGCCAACUAUCUGUAUCUGGUCUGAGAGGACGACCAGCCACACUGGAACUGAGACACGGUCCAGACUCCUACGGGAGGCAGCAGUGGGGAAUUUUGGACAAUGGGCGAAAGCCUGAUCCAGCCAUUCCGCGUGCAGGAUGAAGGCCCUCGGGUUGUAAACUGCUUUUGUACAGAACGAAAAGGUUUCUACUAAUACUAGGAGCUCAUGACGGUACUGUAAGAAUAAGCACCGGCUAACUACGUGCCAGCCGCCGCGGUAA